CAAAGUUCCCCACCACAGAGAAGAAUCUCUCUUUAUUUCUUUCACUCUCACACAACCAAAAUUUUCCAAACUCUCUCUCUCUCUCCACCAUUUCUGCACUUCAAUUUAUUCACCUCUGACACCUUCUUAAUUCUGCUUCCAUGGCUAUGAUCUCUCCUCACUCCCACAAUUCCCACAUUAUGCUCAUCCUCAUCACCUGCUUCUUUCGUCAUAAAUUCUAGAUCAAACUGCACACCCUCAUCUUUUCUUUUACUGCAUAUGGCUUUUCUUUCAACUCAAAUCAAUUUCACCAUCACCACCACCCUUUAAUCUCACAAAAACUUCUCAAAACCUCAAAAACUCCUCUUCCCAUGGCGGGUGGCAAGCUUCAUGCUGCUUCAACCAUGUCGCUUCUCCUCCAAAACGAAAGGCUCCCUUGCUCCUCUGAAGUCCUUGAGUCUCUUUGGGCUCACACCUCUAACCCUGCUUCCUUCCAAGGUUCAAAAUCUAUGGUUGAUUUUGAGAAUGUUAGUGGGGGCAGGGUGACGGAUAGGCCGUUUUUUCAAGCGUUGGAGAAGGAAGAGAACUGUGACGAUGAUUAUGAGGGGUGCUUCCAUCAACCGGGUAAGAAAAGGAGACUCACAAGCGAACAAGUUCAGUUCCUAGAAAGGAACUUUGAGGUGGAGAACAAGCUUGAACCUGAAAGGAAGGUCCAACUUGCGAAGGAGCUUGGGUUGCAGCCAAGGCAAGUGGCUAUAUGGUUCCAAAACCGAAGGGCAAGGUUCAAGACGAAGCAGCUAGAAAAAGACUAUGGCACAUUGAAAGCUAGUUAUGACAGACUCAAAGGUGACUAUGAAAGUCUUGUUCAAGAGAAUGACAAGUUAAAAGCAGAGGUGAAUUCUCUGGAGAGCAAAUUGAUUCUUAGAGAUAAAGAGAAGGAGAAUUCGGACGACAAGUCAUCUCCUGAUGCUGUCAAUUCACCCCACAAAGAGCCUAUGGAUUUAAUUUCAAAUUCAACAUCUGAAAAUGGGACCAAAGUGUCACUCCCUAUUAUGGUAACAUGCAAGCAAGAAGAUGCCAAUUCAGCGAAAAGUGAUGUGCUUGAUUCGGACAGCCCACAUUGCACUGAUGGGAACCAUCCCUCUUCAUUCGUGGAGCCUGCUGAUUCCUCCCAUGCUUUUGAACCAGACCACUCAGACUUUUCUCAAGAUGAAGAGGAUAACCUCAGUGAAACCCUUUUGACACUACCUUGCUUACCGAAGGUUGAAGAACCCUGCUAUGAUCAUCCUCCUGAAAACCCUUGUAAUUUUGGCUUCCAUGUUGAGGAUCAAACCUUCUGUUUCUGGCCCUAUUGAACCCUCCAACCACUUCCAAUGUUAUAAAACUUCGCACUUGUAACCAUCUACUUCAAGCAAUAAAAUUGGUACUACUUCUACCAUAAAA
Vigna unguiculata (cowpea) is the source of this 1422-nucleotide non-coding RNA. The record is from RefSeq and is a predicted model, not a curated record. Lineage: Eukaryota; Viridiplantae; Streptophyta; Magnoliopsida; Fabales; Fabaceae.